GAAAUGCGAUAAGUAGUGUGAAUUGCAGAAUUUAGCGAAUCAUCGAAUCUUUGAACGCACAUUGCGCCCCUUGGUAUUCCAUGGGGCAUGCCUGUUCGAGCGUCAUUACAACCCUCAGGCCCCCGGGCCUGGCGUUGGGGAUCGGCGGAAGCCCCCUGCGGGCACAACGCCGUCCCCCAAAUACAGUGGCGGUCCCGCCGCAGCUUCCAUUGCGUAGUAGCUAACACCUCGCAACUGGAGAGCGGCGCGGCCACGCCGUAAAACACCCAACUUCUGAAUGUUGACCUCGAAUCAGGUAGGAAUACCCGCUGAACUUAAGC
This 320-nucleotide unclassified non-coding RNA is filed under the name plant metagenome. RNAcentral describes it as "partial contains 5.8S ribosomal RNA, internal transcribed spacer 2, and large subunit ribosomal RNA". The stretch from base 1 to 105 matches the Rfam family "5.8S ribosomal RNA", at positions 50 to 154 of the family's 154-position model. The record is from RNAcentral.